GGGGGUGGUGCUGGGGAGGCAGGACGGGGUCGGGGGCGCUGUGCGCUGACAAAGGAGACUGUAGCUUGCGAAGAGCGAAAUGUGCUGCAGCGGGGGCGGAGAGGGCGAAUUUCUAAUUCCACCCACCGCACCCCGAGAGCACUGCGCCGGUUUUGCAGGCUUACUGGCUUUGGGCACAGACUUCCAGAGCUCCUGGGACAAGGUUGUCCGCAGAGAGAUGAUCACAGAGAGGCUGAGGGAGAACAGAACACAGGAAAAGCCUCGUGGAUCUCAAGAGCUCAUCAUGGAGGCCCCACAAGACCUGGCCUACACUGCCUAACACCACGGACCCCAGCCUCCAACCCGAUGUGGUACCCACAGAGGCCCCUUGUGCCUGUCGGCCUGUGGCGUGUGCAGUCCUUGACGAUGUCAGUGAGUGCUUGCGGAAGGCAAAAUCACCCACUAUCCCGCCAGGCCCUUCAACACUCCAGGUGAAUUCACCGUAAAUAGAGACGGCCAUCCUCAUCAAUGCCUGGCAGAUGCCCCGCUUUCUACAAGCAGCCCGGCACCUUACCCAACCUCUGUCUCAGGGAAAACGAGCAUGAUUUCCGGCUGCCCUUCUGCUUCCUUGGAAGCGAGGGACACUUAAACAUCCUAUUUCCCCACAGCAACAUGGCGGAGGCUUCAAGGGGACAACCCGACAUCAGAAGUCAAAAGGCAACCCCAAAAAGAUACCCAAGGAAUGAACGGCGGAGGGCAGUCCUGUCCACCACCUGCUUGUUAAACCCGUGAAGGAAAAGUCAACGUUGCCUUUUGUAAACUGCUGAUAGAAGAAACCCAAGUCAGAAGUAUCCUUGCGACAUGCCCACACCAGCCAGCCUCACUGAUGAAAGCGACCAACCCAAACAGGACCCGCAAACCACACAGGAGACCCAUCCCUUACACGAAUUCGUCUCAGUGAUCGAUCUGAUCAUGUGAUUUUUUGAGACAGCUCUUCAGGGAGACUUUAACUUCGGUUCGAACUGACCAAUAUAUUCCACGACUUGUAUCUACCAGGAACUUGGGGGCCAGAUUCUGAGCUACCAAGAGGAUUCUUAUCACUGGGAGCAAAAUAACUGAAAAUGUAAUCAAUGGUACCAAAAAGGGGUCUCCUUCUCUAAAAUACACACCUAUCCUGACCACCUGCAGCAUGUCCAAUAAAUUGCCCAAUAAAUUGGCAUUCUGGAUGAUAAA
Felis catus (domestic cat) is the source of this 1212-nucleotide long non-coding RNA. RefSeq lists it as uncharacterized. Lineage: Eukaryota; Metazoa; Chordata; Mammalia; Carnivora; Felidae. The transcript has 5 exons. The record is from RefSeq and is a predicted model, not a curated record.